RNAcentral lists this non-coding RNA (29 nucleotides) under Bombyx mori (domestic silkworm). Lineage: Eukaryota; Metazoa; Arthropoda; Insecta; Lepidoptera; Bombycidae. The record is from RNAcentral.
UGUACGAGCACUACGUGGACGGCCAGAUC